RNAcentral lists this unclassified non-coding RNA (244 nucleotides) under Hevea brasiliensis (rubber tree). Lineage: Eukaryota; Viridiplantae; Streptophyta; Magnoliopsida; Malpighiales; Euphorbiaceae. The record is from RNAcentral.
GGAAAAUCGAAAAGAGAGAAAAUUAAGGCGGCCGAGGCAAAUGGCCUUGAUUCCAACCAACCCAGACUUUGGCGGCAAUGGAGGAAGAUACCUUCGCAUUCCCUAUCAUGUAAACUUCAUUUUGGUAUUGGUGGCAAUGAUUAAGGUGAUUGGAAAAAGAAGAUAGGUAAUGGGGGUGCCGUCGACUUUGGAGGCUCGAUUUCCGCGCUAUUUUAGAGAGAGUUUGGGCGCAUACCUUCGGACU